This 367-nucleotide ribosomal RNA is filed under the name uncultured organism. RNAcentral describes it as "bacterial SSU rRNA". It matches the Rfam family "Bacterial small subunit ribosomal RNA", at positions 526 to 896 of the family's 1533-position model. The record is from RNAcentral.
CGUAGGUGGCAAGCGUUGUCCGGAUUUAUUGGGUUUAAAGGGUGCGUAGGCGGCCCUGUAAGUCAGUGCUGAAAUAUCCCGGCUUAACCGGGAGGGUGGCAUUGAUACUGCAGGGCUUGAGUAAAGUUGAGGUAGGCGGAAUUGACGGUGUAGCGGUGAAAUGCUUAGAUAUCGUCAAGAACACCGAUAGUGUAGACAGCUUACUAAGCUUUAACUGACGCUGAGGCACGAAAGUGUGGGGAUCAAACAGGAUUAGAUACCCUGGUAGUCCACACUGUAAACGUUGAAGACUCGCUGUUGGCGAUACACAGUCAGCGGCUGAGAGAAAUCGUUAAGUCUUCCACCUGGGGAUACGCCGGCAACGGUG